CCCAGACAGCCAGGAUGUUGGCUUAGAAGCAGCCAUCAUUUAAAGAAAGCGUAAUAGCUCACUGGUCGAGUCGGCCUGCGCGGAAGAUGUAACGGGGCUAAACCAUGCACCGAAGCUGCGGCAGCGACACUGUGUGUUGUUGGGUAGGGGAGCGUUCUGUAAGCCUGUGAAGGUGGCCUGUGAGGGUUGCUGGAGGUAUCAGAAGUGCGAAUGCUGACAUAAGUAACGAUAAAGCGGGUGAAAAGCCCGCUCGCCGGAAGACCAAGGGUUCCUGUCCAACGUUAAUCGGGGCAGG
Molecule: ribosomal RNA, 295 nt
Filed under: Salmonella enterica subsp. enterica serovar Saintpaul
Lineage: Bacteria; Pseudomonadati; Pseudomonadota; Gammaproteobacteria; Enterobacterales; Enterobacteriaceae
Also listed under: 6 other names
Description: partial 23S ribosomal RNA
Rfam family: Bacterial large subunit ribosomal RNA
Source: RNAcentral